Molecule: long non-coding RNA, 4099 nt
Organism: Pseudophryne corroboree (corroboree frog)
Lineage: Eukaryota; Metazoa; Chordata; Amphibia; Anura; Myobatrachidae
Exons: 3
Source: RefSeq, a predicted model, not a curated record
UAUAUUUGUCCAUUGUCAUCAAGGAGCUGCCAGUUUUGGAGACAGGACAAACAGGCGAUGUGAGUUAUUUUGUAUCAGGACAGAAUACAGUGUACCUGAUCUGUUUAUAAGUUCAUUUAAGUCAUCCCCCGAAUCCAUCCAAGUGAAGGAUCAGAACAGGCUCCCUGCGUCAAAAUUCUGUCUGGCGUACACCAACAGGAGGUCCGACCAGGAUCUCAACCCUUUAGUAUGUCUUCUUGGACCCAAUGUUAUCACUCUGUGAAGUUUUUAUCCAAAUCCAUCCGGUGGAAGACCCAGAACAGGCUCCCCAGUCCAAAGUUCUGUCUGGCGUACACCAACGGGAGGUCCAACCAGGACCCCAACUCCCUAGUAUGUCUUCUGGGAUCAAUUAUUAUCACUCUGUGAAGUUUUCAUCCAAAUCCAUCCAGUGGAGGGCCCAGAACAUGCUCCCUGGGUCAAAGUUCUGCCCAGCGUACACCAACAAAAGGUCAGAGCGGGACCUCUCAAACCCCUAGUAUGUCUUCUGGAAUCCAGUGUUACCACUCUGUGAAGUUUUUAUCCAAAUCCAGGCUCAGAACAGACUCUCUGGGUCAAAGUUCUGCACAGCAUGUACCAGCUGGAGGUCUGCUGGGACCCUACCCCCUCUAAACCUGGCCAGGAUCCAGCUGGGCCAUCUUACAUUGGUUUCAUCCCAAUCAGUGCAGGGGUGUCAGAAUGCAAAUCCAGACAAUUAAACAAACAGACCAGUGAAUUUUAUAUAUAAAAUGCCCAUUGACGUUUCUCUAAAUUAUAUUUGUGUAAUUGGGUGAUUGUGCCAUUAUGUUACUUACCCACUUCAGCAGACACCCCCAUAUGAUACCUCCAAUGGUAAUUCCCAUUACAGUAUGUAUCCCAUAGUUUUAGGUCUCUUUGAUUUCUCCCUGGCUGCUCAUUGCACUGGACAGUCUGCAAACUGCUCAAACAUUGCCCGGGUCAGUAGGCAGCAUUAUGAAAAAUGGGAUUUUUGUGAAAGGAAUAAUAAAAAGUUUAAAAACAAAAAUAUUACUAUAAAUUAUGACACAUUACAUGUUCUUUACAGAACUAUUUAGUCACUUCUAACAUCCUUAUCAUUUACAAUGAGCAGUUUUUUUUAAUCCAAUAUUCACACUAUAAGGGUGGGUUGUGUCAGUCUAAAAAAUGUGGUCAAACUUCGGGAAUCUGUGGUUUUCUGAUGUUUCCUGCAAUAUAUAGAGUAUGGUACCCUGUGCUACACCUGUCCCAAACUGAUUCUAUGGGGCUGCCAUGAAUCAGUAUGCAGGAAGCUUCCUAAAGCAUAUACUUCCAUAGCUUCUGCCCGAUGGGCAAUGCAAUCUACAGAUGACGUUUCCAGUAGAAAACUUUGCACUUACUUACGGGUUGAGAAAAGGAGAGGGAUCGGCAGGGUCAUUCUUCUUUUCCCCACAGACCAUUGGAACAGCUCUUUAUUGGAACAGAUGUACUGGCAGGGAAUUGGCGAUAUUCGGCUGAAGCACUACACACAGAAUAUAUCAACACAACAAGCGAGGACAAGCACGCAGAGCUAAAUGAUAAAUAAUGUUAUUUUUAUGAUAAAUAUUGGAGAACUCUCGCUGCUGUCUGCUUAAUGCUGGCAUUCUUCCAUUAUAGAGCACACUGAGCGCUACGUUUGAUAGGGACUUUUUGUCCCUUGUACCAAAGUAAUCUACCUCCGUCACAAACAUCAUAAUUCUUCUAACGAUGUAUGCUAAUUAUAAUUAUUUUCCCGCUGACCAUCCUAACGGGUAAUUAGGCUGUGCAGAUGACUUAUUAAUUACUCCAAAAGUAUUUCUCUUUUUUUAUUUUAUAUUUUAUUUCUGUCUGUCUUGCCUGGUAUAUUAGUUUUUAUCUUUAUGUCACACCCUUCCUUUCCUCUUGUUGUGGCUAGUGAUCAUUGCCAAACUUUCAUUACAGUGUUAAGUGUAUUGUUGUUUCAUCUCAUCUGUUUUCAGGGUUUCUAAUUUUGUACAUCUUGCCGCAUAGAAUUAACUAAUUAGUCUCACACUACAUGCAUGUAAGAGACUAUUUAUCAAAGGUUGUUAUUUCACCAAUUAACAGAGUGAUGUAAAUAUAUAUAUAUAUAUAUAUAUAUACUCACUCAGUCACUCACUCACUCACUCACUCACUCACUCACUCACUCACUCACGCACUUACUCGCUCACUAUAAUAAACAGUGGGGUUUUGGUCCACGAACUGAUCAAUGCAUUUAAGCUUGCAAGCUCCAGUCAAGGGAAAGUCCUAUCACUUGGGAUUAUAAAUCUGGUAACUACUAUCACAUCAGAAUUAAACUUAAGCUACUCUAUGCCAACUGGUUUAUAGCUCAUCUGUCUCACCAUUUAAAAGCUAUAAGCCAGUUGUCAGGUGAGCUCUAAACUAGUUGGCAUACAUUAAGUUUAAUUUGGAUGUGAUAGCAGCUACCAGGUUUAUAAUUCUGAGUAAUAGAGUAGGACUUGCGGAGAAAUGGGGUGCCUUGUCGAGGGCUGCAAGCUUAAAUGCAUUGAUCAAUUUAUGAACCAAAACUCCAUUGUUCAUUAUGGUAAGAGAGUUUAUUAUGGUGAGUUCUGAGCUCUGUGUUGUUUAUUUAAGUAAUGUGGUCACUUAAGUGGUGAGUGCUGUGGAUUUAUGUAUAUAUAUAUAUAGUUGGUAUAAAGGUCAGUUGUUUCACUGGAUUAUAUUGUGUCGAUGUACCAUUUAUACACACAGGAAAUAAGUGUACCAUUUUUCAGAUUGCUAGAUAGGCUAUGGUAAGAUGGACUUCUGGUCACCGAACAUUGAAAUGUAGACUGAAAACAUUGAUAUACAAGUUAAGGGAUCUACUGUAUGUACUAAGCAUUGGAGAUAGAUAAAGUGGCUGGAGAUACAGUACUAACCAACCAGCUUCUGUCAUUUUUCAAACCCAGCCUGUAACAUGGCAAUUAGGAGAAGAUUGGCUGUUACUUUAUCUCUCUCCACUUUAUGUCUCUUCAAAGCUUAGUGCAUAGACCCCCUAAUCUGGAAAUAAAAAUGAUCUGCGGCUAAAGCAAUCACCAUUUAUAUAUAGGUAUACAUUUUAUUAAAUCUUGUUCCAGAACUAAUUACUAUGAUUACAGCGCAAGAAGUAUGGAUCUCCCGGUGUCAUGGAACAGUGAUCAGACAUGAGGAUAAUAUGUGUAUUCCUGUAAGUAAAUCACAGUGCAGCCAUCAAAGUACUUUAUAUACUUUACUCAAUAUACUUUAGGAAGCGACAGAAAACAUAAUAAAUAAAGGUCAGCUUUCUUAUUUCCUGCGUACUCACCUCAUAAUUACUGUAGAGGAAGGUUUUUACAAAGAAAAGAAUGCAGAACAAUACUGGGGCAUAGUAUAGAAGAGGAAGAAAAACAUGUUAGAUUUUUCCAAGAUAAGAGAACCUAUGGAAAUGUGUUCACCUGCUGGGGCACAGCACAGCCCACCUCUCUGUGACCACCUCUGAGCGCAUAACAUUUCCACUAUCCGGAUGAUAGACAGUGUCUAGUUAGACAGUCAAUAGAUAGACACCAUAUGUUAGACUAGGGGUGGACAAAAUACGGCCCGUGGGCCGGAUGCGGGCCAAUAACUGAUCCAGCCCGGCUCGCUUUCUCCCACCAGUGCACAAUGACAAGUGGCCCGACCAGCGGAGCUGCUUGUCAUUGCGCUACAGUAGCUGCCUCUCAUGGGCGCCGCAGAGGACAUCCUGGUCACAUCGGUUCAGCCGACCAGAAUUCCUUGUGACUUCAGGCACUGGGCGGUGUUGGGGGCGGGGCCAAAUUCUGAUUGUGGCUGUGGAUGUGGGCAACAGUAAGUUUAAAUGUACUAGACUGCACAACACUACAGGACAGCACUGAAUCUGAGACCACUUAAGGUACACAUGCUUGGCUGGCAGGUGGCUGCGGGACCUGCCAGAUAAGUGGGGCAGGGGAGCCCAGUAUGAGUUUUGGGAGAUAGCUGUAACUGUGCCAAUGGAGGGAGGAAAUGGCAACUGUGCCCUGUGGUAAAGUGAAGACUUGAAUAGACUAAGCUACUGCGGCUGCGGGGCAUCCAUGCUUGUAAGUCUGGCAGUGGCAGCAGAACC